RNAcentral lists this ribosomal RNA (239 nucleotides) under uncultured bacterium. Its description in RNAcentral is "partial 16S ribosomal RNA". It matches the Rfam family "Bacterial small subunit ribosomal RNA", at positions 118 to 345 of the family's 1533-position model. The record is from RNAcentral.
UGGGUAACCUGCCUCAAAGAGGGGAAUAGCCUCCCGAAAGGGAGAUUAAUAUCGCAUAAUAUGUUUAGGUCGCAUGACUUUAACAUCAAAGGAUUUCUUAUAGAAAUUCCACUUUGAGAUGGACCCGCGGCGCAUUAGCUAGUUGGUGAGGUAACGGCUCACCAAGGCAACGAUGCGUAGCCGACCUGAGAGGGUGAUCGGCCACAUUGGAACUGAGACACGGUCCAGAUCCGUACGGG